Pelobates cultripes (western spadefoot toad) is the source of this 204-nucleotide non-coding RNA. The record is from the annotation of a GenBank genome assembly. Lineage: Eukaryota; Metazoa; Chordata; Amphibia; Anura; Pelobatidae.
AAAAAUCUUUGCACCUGACCUGACAACAGGUCCUCGCAAGAGUAGCAGGUUUUCCAAGAUAAUUGGGCAAGAAAACUAGACCAACUUUCAACUAUCAGGCAAUGCUCUGACACAUGCAGUAGAGAAAGGCUGGUGUUAAAAAGGGUGCUAAAAAGAGACUGGACCCCCAGAAGACUUGCAUGGGACCCUGACACAAAGAUAAUG